Molecule: ribosomal RNA, 253 nt
Filed under: uncultured bacterium
Lineage: Bacteria
Description: partial 16S ribosomal RNA
Rfam family: Bacterial small subunit ribosomal RNA
Source: RNAcentral
UACAGAGGGUGCGAGCGUUGUCCGGAAUCACUGGGCGUAAAGGGCGCGUAGGCGGUCUGCUAAGCGUGUGGUGAAAGCUCGGGGCUCAACCCCGAGUCGGCCGUGCGAACUGGUGGACUGGAGCCGAUCAGAGGCAGGCGGAAUUCCGGGUGUAGCGGUGGAAUGCGUAGAUAUCAGGAGGAACACCGAUGGCGAAGGCAGUGUCCUGGGAAGUACCUGACGCUCAGGUGCGAAAGCUAGGGGAGCGAACAGG